Long non-coding RNA from Talpa occidentalis (Iberian mole), 1486 nucleotides. RefSeq lists it as uncharacterized. The transcript has 3 exons. The record is from RefSeq and is a predicted model, not a curated record. Lineage: Eukaryota; Metazoa; Chordata; Mammalia; Eulipotyphla; Talpidae.
UGGAAAUUGAGUUCAGUCACCAAAGGCUAUUGUUUCUUCUGUAGCCAAAGGUCUUUUGGAGAAACCUAUCCUUACCUGGAAAGUGAAUCUUGAACUUUAUAGUGACCAAGCAACCCAUUUUACUGACUAGGUGCUCUGAAUGCUCCAGGGAGACAAAGACCUUAAGCAACAUAACCCGAACCUGCAACCUGGAUAUUUUGUCUAUCAGAAAAGAAACCUCCAGAAAGAUUCGCUUCAACUUUGUUGCAACAACUUCUAUAAAGUAUUGGUAACAAACUCUUCAGCAGUCAGACUUUAGGGUAUAAACUCUUGGAUUCACAUGACACAUUUUAAGAAAGCACCAAAUCUCACUGAACCUGUACACCAUCUGAUAACCUGAACAUAAAGAUUUUCUGCAAUUAAAAUAGAUUAACAUUUGGUGAGACAGUUUUCCAAGAUGUCAGGAUUAAGUCUAUUAGAAGGAUAUAGAUUGAGAUGAAUAAUGCCUAAGACAUGUCUCCUUUACCACUCCUUGUUAUUUAAUGUGAUCUCGAUAGAUUCUUUAUCUGUGCAUUCUCUCUUCAAUAUGAGACAUGAGACCUCUGAAAGACCCUUCCUGGAACUGAAGGACAACAAUGUCAUUGAACCUGGGAAUAAACCUGACUCUUAAUCAGCAAUGCUUUCAGAGAAAGAUCUUGAUCAAAAGGGGAAACGUGAAAAUUAAGACAUAAAUCGUGCUUAAAUGGAAUAGGAGCCUAGAAGACUUCUCACACAUGCACAAUCAGCAAAAAGUAGGCCCUUGAUUAAUACAGUUUGUUCGACAUUUCAUUGUAACAUAGAAAAACCAAUCCUAGCUGACAAUGACCAAAGUGACAUUAUUCAAGGACCUGCUUUUGUUCUACAUCAUUCCACUUAAAGUCACAGGUUCCAAUAACUUAUCAGUAAUUUUAAGUAAGGACUUACAGUACAGGACGCAAAAUGCCUUGUGUAGGGUAAAGUAAAAGUAUCAGGCUUUUCUGCCCUCCUGCCAUUAGGACAGAUGAGGGAAACCUGUGGUCCUGAAUGCAUGCCUGAUGGCGGGCACGUGAAGUGGGUACACCUGGGCUGAGAGAAUGAGUUUAUAAGGGCGGCAUCACGGGGACACCAGCAGAAGCCAAGAAUGAACGGAAGAUGAGAGAACGCCAGAGAGCCCAGACAGAAUGAAGUCUUGCUGAGGGCUGGGAGGCCUACCAGCCUCCCGGCCCCCUCAGCACCCCUGCCUGCCAUGUACCUGGUAAAUCCCAAUAAAAGCCUGAAAAAGCCACUGAGAGCUCCAGGACUCCUCCUUUACCCGGUCUCCUGGGUCAGAAAACCUGCCCUGUGCCAUUCCUGCCCCUACACCUUGUAUCUCUGAUGGAAGGAUGUUGCUUCUCGGUCUCAUCAGAAGGAAGGAGACACUUCCCAGUGCAGUACUAACCCCUUUAAAUAGAGGUUAUAUAACAGGGCACCAACUUUGAUUGUAGGAAGA